This 441-nucleotide ribosomal RNA is filed under the name uncultured bacterium. Its description in RNAcentral is "partial 16S ribosomal RNA". It matches the Rfam family "Bacterial small subunit ribosomal RNA", at positions 338 to 795 of the family's 1533-position model. The record is from RNAcentral.
CCUACGGGAGGCAGCAGUGGGGAAUAUUGCACAAUGGGGGAAACCCUGAUGCAGCAACGCCGCGUGAAGGAAGACGGUUUUCGGAUUGUAAACUUCUGUUCUUAGUGAAGAAUAAUGACGGUAGCUAAGGAGCAAGCCACGGCUAACUACGUGCCAGCAGCCGCGGUAAUACGUAGGUGGCAAGCGUUGUCCGGAAUUACUGGGUGUAAAGGGAGCGCAGGCGGGAUGCCAAGUCAGCUGUGAAAACUACGGGCUUAACUUGUAGACUGCAGUUGAAACUGGUUUUCUUGAGUGAAGUAGAGGUAGGCGGAAUUCGGGGUGUAGCGGUGAAAUGCGUAGAUAUUCGGAGGAACACCGGUGGCGAAGGCGGCCAACUGGGCUUUAACUGACGCUGAGGCUCGAAAGUGUGGGGAGCGAACAGGAUUAGAUACCCGGGUAGUC